GACGAACGCUGGCGGCGUGCUUAACACAUGCAAGUCGAACGGAAAGGCCCUGCUUUUGUGGGGUUCUCGAGUGGCGAACGUGUGAGUAACACGUGAGUAACCUGCCCUUGACUUUGUGAUAACUUCAGGAAACUGGUGCUAAUACCGAAUAGGAGCUCCUGCUGCAUGGUGGGGGUUGGAAAGUUUAGGCGGUUGGGGAUGGACGCGCGGCUUAUCAGCUUGUUGGGUGGGUAGUGGCUUACCAAGGCUUUGACGGGUAGCCGGCAUGAGAGGGUGACCGGCCACAUUGGGACUGAGAUACGGCCCAGACUCCUACGGGAGGCAGCAGUGGGGAAUAUUGCACAAUGGGCGGAAGCCUGAUGAAGAAACGCCGCGUGCGGGAUGACGGCCUUCGGGUUGUAAACCGCUUUAGCCUGUGACGAAGCGUGAGUGACGGUAAUGGGUAAAGAAGCACCGGCUAACUACGUG
RNAcentral lists this ribosomal RNA (468 nucleotides) under uncultured bacterium. RNAcentral's name for it is "partial 16S ribosomal RNA". It matches the Rfam family "Bacterial small subunit ribosomal RNA", at positions 28 to 507 of the family's 1533-position model. The record is from RNAcentral.